GGCCGCCUGGCGAAAUGGCAUCGCGUCUGACUACGAAUUCUUUCGCGGAAUCAGGAGAUUGCAGGUUCGAGACCUGCGGUGGUCA
This is a non-coding RNA of Mycena galopus ATCC 62051, 85 nucleotides long. Lineage: Eukaryota; Fungi; Basidiomycota; Agaricomycetes; Agaricales; Mycenaceae. The record is from the annotation of a GenBank genome assembly.